This 433-nucleotide ribosomal RNA is filed under the name uncultured bacterium. RNAcentral describes it as "partial 16S ribosomal RNA". It matches the Rfam family "Bacterial small subunit ribosomal RNA", at positions 28 to 507 of the family's 1533-position model. The record is from RNAcentral.
AGCGAACGCUGGCGGCAGGCUUAACACAUGCAAGUCGAGCGGGCCUUUCGGGGUCAGCGGCGGACGGGUGGGUAACGCGUGGGAACUUGCCCUCUGGUUCGGAAUCACUCAGGGAAACUUGAGCUAAUACCGGAUACGCUCUUUUGGGGAAAGGCUUGCUGCCGGAGGAUCGGCCCGCGUCUGAUUAGCUAGUUGGUGAGGUAACGGCUCACCAAGGCGACGAUCAGUAGCUGGUCGGGGAGGAUGGUCUUCCACACUGGGACUGCGACACGGACCAGACUCCUACGGGAGGGAGCAGUGGGGAAUAUUGGACAAUGGGCGCAAGCCUGAUCCAGCCAUGCCGCGUGAGUGAUGAAGGCCUUAGGGUUGUAAAGCUGUUUUAUACGGGACGGUAAUGACGGUACCGGAGGAAUAAGCCCCGGCUAACUUCGUG